RNAcentral lists this small nuclear RNA (191 nucleotides) under Soboliphyme baturini. RNAcentral describes it as "U2 spliceosomal RNA". It matches the Rfam family "U2 spliceosomal RNA". Rfam says of the family: U2 is a small nuclear RNA (snRNA) component of the spliceosome (involved in pre-mRNA splicing). Complementary binding between U2 snRNA (in an area lying towards the 5' end but 3' to hairpin I) and the branchpoint sequence (BPS) of the intron results the bulging out of an unpaired adenosine, on the BPS, which initiates a nucleophilic attack at the intronic 5' splice site, thus starting the first of two transesterification reactions that mediate splicing. The record is from Rfam by way of RNAcentral. Lineage: Eukaryota; Metazoa; Nematoda; Enoplea; Dioctophymatida; Soboliphymatidae.
AUCGCUUCUCGGCUGAAAAGCUAAGAUCAAAGUUAGUAUCUGUUCUUAUCAGCUUAACCUCUGGUAUUUGACCUACGUGGUCAUAUGAAGGUUAAUUUAUUUUUUGGGCACUGAUCGUUGCAUGAAGCUUGCUUCAACAUGAUCACGGGUCAGACUAGCGUUGCACUAUCGCUGGAAUUGGCCCAUUCCCG